GACCGCUCGCUCAGCACUGCCUCACGUGAGCAUCAGGGAGAGGCAGACAGUCCGACAGGUACAUCGACGACGGGACAAGCCAUGUCUUGACGACACGAUUCCUGCCGCCCUCGCCCAACGUCCACGCUCCGGUGACCUCCUUCCUCGCCAGGUCGUACUCCAGGAGCCGGAGCUUCCACGCCGACCACACGUACACGGCGUCCUUCUCCGGGUGCAGCGCCAGGACCCUGACCUCGCCCCGCCUGCCGCCGCAGCAUCGCCCUCCCUCCACGACGUCGUCGCCGAACCUGACGGCGUGCUUCAGCCGCCACCGCAGCGCAGGCAGCUCCCCGUCGAGCACCCAGACCUUGAGCAGCCGCGCGCCGUCGCUGGCCAUGUAGUGCAGCCUCCCCGCGGAGUGCGCGAGGCGGCCGUCGACGCCGUCCGCAUGCUCGGGAAGCUCGGCGACCGCGCACGCGAGGUCGCCGCCGCUUCCGGCGGAGGCCACGUCCAUGCGCACGACGCAGUCCGGGUCGGAGGCCAGGACGUAGACGGCGCCGGCGUGGAAGUGCACGGAGCCCGAGAGCGAGGCCGCGGGCACGCCGAACUCGGCGUCGCGCAGCGCCCACGCCCGCGUCUCCGACGAGAACACCUCCACCUCGCCGCCGCGGUCGCGCCACCGCCCCGUGAAGUUGAUGACGUGGUAGCCGCCGCCGCCGCCGCGGCGCGAGGAGGCGGACGACGACGACGAUGGGUCGAAGGCGAGCAUGGACAGGCGCGGGUCCUUCGACGGCGGCGGCAGCGCCGCCCAGCGCCUCGUGACGGGGUCCACGACGUAGAACCUUCUGGUGCCGGCGGCGCGGAGCAGGAGCAGGCCGUUGCAGGCGUCGGAGACGACGGAGACGUCGAGGAACGGGAAGAAGCCGAGGUCCCGGUCCCGGAGCAUCCCGCCGCCGCCGGCAGCUGAGUCCGCGCACGCGAACCGUGGCCGCGCCUUGCCGCGGGCUGAGGCGGCGGCGUCGUCGUCGUCGGGGAAGUAGACCACGGACAGCUGCAGCGGGAGCCUGCGGCGGAGGUAGCCGUCGGAGACGGUGGCGCACCAGGCCUUGGACACGCACUUGGACCGCGCCACGGAGUCGACGGGCAGCCUGCGGAUGAUCUCCGCCAUCAUGUCGUCGCUCAGGCUGGCCACCACGGCACUAGCCUCUCCGGCCGCCGCGGAGCUCCUGGUGUCGUCACUGUCGGAGGAAGAACGCCGCUCCAUGAUCGACAUUGUUCCGUUCCCGGAUUGGUGAAGCUCGCAGCGAAGCAAGGUGGCUUCUGACAGCAACGAGAAGCACGAGCACAGAAGGGUUCACGUUCACCGGUGACGACGCAACUGUGGAUUGGCGCCGCGCGUACCGGCUCCAACCGUCGGAAGUCGGAACCACCUCGCGAUCGAAUCGCUGGAGCCUGCGUGGGCGCCGCGUGUUCACUCGGCGGCAGUCGGAGGCCGCGUCGCCGUGCCACGUAACGCCCAAAACUGUGCUAAGGUGUCCCGCAGGCUAAGACCUGAACGUGCGGAAGAUCUGAUAUUAAUCUGUGCACAAAAACUGGCUGCCGUGAGGACGCGG
This 1592-nucleotide unclassified non-coding RNA is filed under the name Zea mays. RNAcentral's name for it is "misc RNA Zm00001eb036460". The record is from RNAcentral. Lineage: Eukaryota; Viridiplantae; Streptophyta; Magnoliopsida; Poales; Poaceae.